UAAUUGAAGAGUUUGAUCCUGGCUCAGAGCGAACGCUGGCGGCGUGCUUAACACAUGCAAGUCAAACGGCCCUGCGGUAGCAAUACUGCGGGGUAGUGGCGAACGGGUGAGUAACACGUGGGUAAUCUUCCCCCGAGUGAGGAAUAAGUCUGCGAAAGCGGGUCUAAUACCGCAUGACGUCCUAAGGCAUAAGCCUUAGGAUUAAAGCCGUAAGGCGCUUGGGGAUGAGCCUGCGUCCUAUUAGCUAGUUGGUAGGGUAAUGGCCUACCAAGGCGAUUAUG
RNAcentral lists this ribosomal RNA (281 nucleotides) under Acidobacteriota bacterium. RNAcentral's name for it is "Acidobacteria bacterium (permafrost metagenome) partial 16S ribosomal RNA". It matches the Rfam family "Bacterial small subunit ribosomal RNA", at positions 1 to 281 of the family's 1533-position model. The record is from RNAcentral. Lineage: Bacteria; Pseudomonadati; Acidobacteriota.